This 467-nucleotide ribosomal RNA is filed under the name uncultured bacterium. Its description in RNAcentral is "bacterial SSU rRNA". It matches the Rfam family "Bacterial small subunit ribosomal RNA", at positions 43 to 524 of the family's 1533-position model. The record is from RNAcentral.
CAGGCCUAACACAUGCAAGUCGAGCGGCAGCGGAAAGUAGCUUGCUACUUUGCCGGCGAGCGGCGGACGGGUGAGUAAUGUCUGGGAAACUGCCUGAUGGAGGGGGAUAACUACUGGAAACGGUAGCUAAUACCGCAUAACGUCGCAAGACCAAAGAGGGGGACCUUCGGGCCUCACACUACCGGAUGAACCCAGAUGGGAUUAGCUAGUUGGCGGGGUAAGGGCCCACCAAGGCGACGAUCCCUAGCUGGUCUGAGAGGAUGACCAGCCACACUGGAACUGAGACACGGCCCAGACUCCUACGGGAGGCAGCAGUGGGGAAUAUUGGACAAUGGGCGCAAGCCUGAUCCAGCAAUGCCGCGUGAGUGAUGAAGGCCUUAGGGUUGUAAAGCUCUUUUACCCGGGAAGAUAAUGACUGUACCGGGAGAAUAAGCCCCGGCUAACUCCGUGCCAGCAGCCGCGGUAAU